Molecule: non-coding RNA, 531 nt
Organism: Arachis ipaensis
Lineage: Eukaryota; Viridiplantae; Streptophyta; Magnoliopsida; Fabales; Fabaceae
Source: RefSeq, a predicted model, not a curated record
UCAAUAAUUCCAACAUUAGUCCUAAUGUAAAUCAGGGCUUCAUUGUUAACCCUCGUGACUCCAUCUUCUCAUUCUUCUUCAAAGUCAUCACUUCAGCCUCUGAAGCACCAUUUCAAGAAUAGCCACCUCAUCUCCGCUGGUCUAGCCACCGCAAGGACAAUUGAAGAACGAAGCUGCUGCCUCUCCCUUGUUGCUUUCGACGUCAAGCACCAAAUCGUCAUCCUAGCUACUGUGACCCAGGUACAACAACCUAUUUAACAAUGACAUCUAGAAUAGAAGAUUGACAAGUGAUUCUUAUAGCAGUGGAAGUUCUAAAAAAGCAAAGGAAGCUAAUGAUGUUAACAAGAAAGGAAGCCAAUGAAUAACAUUAUGCGUCAUUGAAAGCAAAGGAAGCAAAAGACAUUACGAAUUAAGUUCUAGUGUUGUUUUUUAAAUUCUAGUAAGAGUAUUGGAUUGUUUAUUUGUAUUAGACAUAUGAACAUAUUGUAAAAGCAAUUAUAUAAAUAAAAUUAGAUUGGCUAGUUUGCUGAA